UGGGGAAUUUUGGACAAUGGGCGAAAGUCUGAUCCAGCCAUGCCGCGUGAGUGAAGAAGGCCUUCGGGUUGUAAAGCUCUUUCAGACGGAAAGAAAACUUCUGGGCUAAUACCCUGGGAGGAUGACGGUACCGUAAGAAGAAGCACCGGCUAACUACGUGCCAGCAGCCGCGGUAAUACGUAGGGUGCGAGCGUUAAUCGGAAUUACUGGGCGUAAAGCGUGCGCAGGCGGUUAUGCAAGACAGAUGUAAAAUCCCCGGGCUCAACCUGGGAACUGCAUUUGUGACUGCAUAGCUGGAGUGCGGCAGAGGGGGAUGGAAUUCCGCGUGUAGCAGUGAAAUGCGUAGAGAUGUGGAGGAACACCAAUGGCGAAGGCAGCCCCCUGGGUCGAUACUGACGCUCAUGCACGAAAGCGUGGGUAGCAAACA
Molecule: ribosomal RNA, 427 nt
Filed under: uncultured bacterium
Lineage: Bacteria
Description: bacterial SSU rRNA
Rfam family: Bacterial small subunit ribosomal RNA
Source: RNAcentral